GAUGAACGCUGACAGAAUGCUUAACACAUGCAAGUCAACUUGAACUUCGGUUUGGGUGGCGGACGGGUGAGUAACGCGUAAAGAACUUGCCUCACAGAUAGGGACAACAUUUGGAAACGAAUGCUAAUACCUGAUAUUAUGAUUUUAGGGCAUCCUAGGAUUAUGAAAGCUAUAUGCGCUGUGAGAGAGCUUUGCGUCCCAUUAGCUAGUUGGAGAGGUAACGGCUCACCAAGGCGAUGAUGGGUAGCCGGCCUGAGAGGGUGAUCGGCCACAAGGGGACUGAGACACGGCCCUUACUCCUACGGGAGGCAGCAGUGGGGAAUAUUGGACAAUGGACCAAGAGUCUGAUCCAGCAAUUCUGUGUGCACGAUGAAGUUUUUCGGAAUGUAAAGUGCUUUCAGUUGGGAAGAAAAAAAUGACGGUACCAACAGAAGAAGUGACGGCUAAAUACGUGCCAGCAGCCGCGGUAAUACGUAUGUCACAAGCGUUAUCCGGAUUUAUUGGGCGUAAAGCGCGUCUAGGUGGUUAUGUAAGUCUGAUGUGAAAAUGCAGGGCUCAACUCUGUAUUGCGUUGGAAACUGUGUAACUAGCGUACUGGAGAGGUAAGCGGAACUACAAGUGUAGAGGUGAAAUUCGUAGAUAUUUGUAGGAAUGCCGAUGGGGAAGCCAGCUUACUGGACAGAUACUGACGCUGAAGCGCGAAAGCGUGGGUAGCAAACAGG
RNAcentral lists this ribosomal RNA (722 nucleotides) under uncultured Fusobacterium sp. RNAcentral's name for it is "bacterial SSU rRNA". It matches the Rfam family "Bacterial small subunit ribosomal RNA", at positions 28 to 776 of the family's 1533-position model. The record is from RNAcentral. Lineage: Bacteria; Fusobacteriati; Fusobacteriota; Fusobacteriia; Fusobacteriales; Fusobacteriaceae.